AGGAAUGGAGUCACCUCAACAAAGUGCC
RNAcentral lists this non-coding RNA (28 nucleotides) under Mus musculus (house mouse). RNAcentral also lists the same sequence under 1 other name. The record is from RNAcentral. Lineage: Eukaryota; Metazoa; Chordata; Mammalia; Rodentia; Muridae.